UUUUUGAUUCAUGACUGGGGUGAAGUCGUAACAAGGUAACCGUAGGGGAACCUGCGGUUGGAUCACCUCCUUACCUAAGCGAUACGUUGAGUGACGUGUCCACACAGAUUGUCUGAUAAUUGUCACGAGCAAGAAAAACCUGCUAUAGGCUUGUAGCUCAGGUGGUUAGAGCGCACCCCUGAUAAGGGUGAGGUCGGUGGUUCAAGUCCACUCAGGCCUACCAGUUCUGCUUAUUUCCGUGGGUUCCCGUGAUGAGGAGGACAGCAUGUUGCCGACAGGCGGCAUGAGAGGCUGUGCGUCAGGGGGGCGAAGAAGGCGAGACUGGCUGUCGUACUGUAACGUCGCGGUGCGGUAUCGGGUU
This 361-nucleotide unclassified non-coding RNA is filed under the name Sodalis glossinidius. RNAcentral describes it as "partial contains 16S ribosomal RNA and 16S-23S ribosomal RNA intergenic spacer". The stretch from base 147 to 220 matches the Rfam family "tRNA". The record is from RNAcentral. Lineage: Bacteria; Pseudomonadati; Pseudomonadota; Gammaproteobacteria; Enterobacterales; Bruguierivoracaceae.